Non-coding RNA from Xenopus tropicalis (tropical clawed frog), 81 nucleotides. Lineage: Eukaryota; Metazoa; Chordata; Amphibia; Anura; Pipidae. The record is from Rfam.
CUCGCCCUUGAUUGUCCAAACGCAAUUCUUGUUCCAAUAGAAAUAUCAAGCCAAGAAUUGUGCCUGGACAUCUGUGGCUGG